This 74-nucleotide transfer RNA is filed under the name Kopua minima. Its description in RNAcentral is "Aspasma minima tRNA-Lys". It matches the Rfam family "tRNA". Rfam says of the family: Transfer RNA (tRNA) molecules are approximately 80 nucleotides in length. Their secondary structure includes four short double-helical elements and three loops (D, anti-codon, and T loops). Further hydrogen bonds mediate the characteristic L-shaped molecular structure. tRNAs have two regions of fundamental functional importance: the anti-codon, which is responsible for specific mRNA codon recognition, and the 3' end, to which the tRNAs corresponding amino acid is attached (by aminoacyl-tRNA synthetases). tRNAs cope with the degeneracy of the genetic code in two manners: having more than one tRNA (with a specific anti-codon) for a particular amino acid; and 'wobble' base-pairing, i.e. permitting non-standard base-pairing at the 3rd anti-codon position. The record is from RNAcentral. Lineage: Eukaryota; Metazoa; Chordata; Actinopteri; Blenniiformes; Gobiesocidae.
CACUAAGAAGCUAAAUAGGGUAAAGCAUUAGCCUUUUAAGCUAAAAAAUGGUGAUUCCCAACCACCCUUAGUGA